AACGAACGCUGGCGGCAUGCCUAACACAUGCAAGUCGAACGAGACCUUCGGGUCUAGUGGCGCACGGGUGCGUAACGCGUGGGAAUCUGCCCUUGGGUUCGGAAUAACAGUUGGAAACGACUGCUAAUACCGGAUGAUGACGUAAGUCCAAAGAUUUAUCGCCCAAGGAUGAGCCCGCGUAGGAUUAGCUAGUUGGUGAGGUAAAGGCUCACCAAGGCGACGAUCCUUAGCUGGUCUGAGAGGAUGAUCAGCCACACUGGGACUGAGACACGGCCCAGACUCCUACGGGAGGCGGCAGUGGGGAAUAUUGGACAAUGGGCGAAAGCCUGAUCCAGCAAUGCCGCGUGAGUGAUGAAGGCCUUAGGGUUGUAAAGCUCUUUUACCCGGGAUGAUAAUGACAGUACCGGGAGAAUAAGCACCGGCUAACUCCGUG
RNAcentral lists this ribosomal RNA (433 nucleotides) under uncultured bacterium. Its description in RNAcentral is "partial 16S ribosomal RNA". It matches the Rfam family "Bacterial small subunit ribosomal RNA", at positions 29 to 507 of the family's 1533-position model. The record is from RNAcentral.